This 261-nucleotide long non-coding RNA is filed under the name Phoenix dactylifera (date palm). RNAcentral's name for it is "long non-coding RNA (PDAC_LNC008557)". The record is from RNAcentral. Lineage: Eukaryota; Viridiplantae; Streptophyta; Magnoliopsida; Arecales; Arecaceae.
CUUUUUAUAUUGUGUAUAUUGUGAUUUUGUAUUUAUUUAAUUUUUUGCAAAUAGUUUUAUAUAUACACUUUAUAAUUCUGUUUGCAAAAUUUGUUCAUUGUUGGUUUGCAUUAACUUGACAAACUAAAUUUUGAUAUUACUCAUUCUAAUUUGAGAUUAUUCAUUUAUUUAGUAAUUAGAGAUGGCUUUAAGUUCAAGCAAUGUGGUGCCUACCGCCAUUCCCAUUGCCUCACAUGUGAGCCAUGGAGAGAAGCCCGAAAA